UACGUAGGGUGCGAGCGUUAAUCGGAAUUACUGGGCGUAAAGCGUGCGCAGGCGGUUCUCCAAGUCCGUUGUGAAAGCCCCGGGCUUAACCUGGGAAUGGCAUUUGGGACUGCAAGGCUUGAGUGCGGCAGAGGAGACUGGAAUUCCUGGUGUAGCAGUGAAAUGCGUAGAUAUCAGGAGGAACACCAAUGGCGAAGGCAGCUCGCUGGGACGUGACUGACGCUGAGACGCGAAAGCGUGGGGAGCAAACAGG
This 253-nucleotide ribosomal RNA is filed under the name uncultured bacterium. Its description in RNAcentral is "partial 16S ribosomal RNA". It matches the Rfam family "Bacterial small subunit ribosomal RNA", at positions 524 to 776 of the family's 1533-position model. The record is from RNAcentral.